AGAUUGAACGCUAGCGGGAUGCUUUACGACAUGCAAGUCGAACGGCAGCGCGGACUUCGGUCUGGCGGCGAGUGGCGAACGGGUGAGUAAUAUAUCGGAACGUGCCCAGUAGCGGGGGAUAACUACGCGAAAGCGUGGCUAAUACCGCAUACGCCCUACGGGGGAAAGGGGGGGAUCGCAAGACCUCUCACUAUUGGAGCGGCCGAUAUCAGAUUAGCUAGUUGGUGAGGUAAAGGCUCACCAAGGCGACGAUCUGUAGCUGGUUUGAGAGGACGACCAGCCACACUGGGACUGAGACACGGCCCAGACCCCUACGGGAGGCAGCAGUGGGGAAUUUGGACAAUGGGGGAAACCUGAUCCAGCCAUCCCGCGUGUGCGAUGAAGGCCCGUUGGGUUUGUAAAGCGUACUUUUGGCAGGAAGAAACGGCGUGCCCUAAGUACGGACGUCACUCGACGGUCCUGCAGAAUAAGCACGGCUAACUCUGUCGCCAGCGAGCCGAGUAACUC
This 507-nucleotide ribosomal RNA is filed under the name uncultured soil bacterium. RNAcentral's name for it is "bacterial SSU rRNA". It matches the Rfam family "Bacterial small subunit ribosomal RNA", at positions 26 to 526 of the family's 1533-position model. The record is from RNAcentral.